UUAUUUUAAAUAUAUUUAUUUUUUUGGAUUUGGCGUUAUUAAUGAUAUGAGAGAUAAGGUUAUGCAGUGUUUUCCAAACUGUGGGACACGCUAGUGUAUGGCCGGGGGGCGCGCAAGAAUGAACAAAAACAUAAUUAUUGAGACAAAAAAAUAAAUUCAAAUUGUGACCGAAAAAAACGAAUCAGCAAAAGGGUUAUAAAUAAAUGUAUCUAUGUCUACAGAAUCUUUCUGCUGUAGCUGUUUUAAAGACGAAAUAUCUAUCCGGUUUAGUGAUUUAAAAAGAAUUGGGUGUAGCGCUAUCUUCACUGCCCCUGAUUUGAGCGAGUUUCUGCUGAAAAACAUGCCCAUCCAUCGCAUUAAAUAUCAUCUUGUAUUAAAUUAUAUUUCGUUUUAUUCCAAGAUUUAUUUAAUUGUAUUAAAAAAUAUCACGCCAG
This 434-nucleotide long non-coding RNA is filed under the name Androctonus crassicauda. Lineage: Eukaryota; Metazoa; Arthropoda; Arachnida; Scorpiones; Buthidae. The record is from RNAcentral.